UGCAGCCAUGUCAAAUCUAGGCCUAUGGCAGGACUUGGCCCAGAAAACGACCACAGGAACACUGUGACUCACAGGCCUGUCCCCUGCUCAGGCUCAGGCAUGACUAUGGUCACAGAGGGCA
Molecule: small nucleolar RNA, 121 nt
Organism: Ochotona curzoniae (black-lipped pika)
Lineage: Eukaryota; Metazoa; Chordata; Mammalia; Lagomorpha; Ochotonidae
Product: small nucleolar RNA SNORA5
Exons: 1
Source: RefSeq, a predicted model, not a curated record